Molecule: small RNA, 127 nt
Filed under: Arabidopsis thaliana (thale cress)
Lineage: Eukaryota; Viridiplantae; Streptophyta; Magnoliopsida; Brassicales; Brassicaceae
Description: ATSL305000
Source: RNAcentral
AUUUUAAAAAUUACUACUUUCAAAAAAAAAUCACGGGACGAGUAAAGAAAUUACAGAACGGGUUUUAUUUUGGAAUAGAGUUAUAUGGUGGAUGUAUUUGAAUCAAUAUUUAUAAAAAUUUAAAAUA